This 1452-nucleotide ribosomal RNA is filed under the name Massilia timonae. Its description in RNAcentral is "16S ribosomal RNA". It matches the Rfam family "Bacterial small subunit ribosomal RNA". The record is from RNAcentral. Lineage: Bacteria; Pseudomonadati; Pseudomonadota; Betaproteobacteria; Burkholderiales; Oxalobacteraceae.
AGAGUUUGAUCAUGGCUCAGAUUGAACGCUGGCGGCAUGCUUUACACAUGCAAGUCGAACGGCAGCGCGGGGCAACCUGGCGGCGAGUGGCGAACGGGUGAGUAAUACAUCGGAACGUACCCAGAAGUGGGGGAUAACGUAGCGAAAGUUACGCUAAUACCGCAUACGAUCUACGGAUGAAAGUGGGGGACCUUCGGGCCUCAUGCUUUUGGAGCGGCCGAUGUCUGAUUAGCUAGUUGGUAGGGUAAAGGCCUACCAAGGCGACGAUCAGUAGCUGGUCUGAGAGGACGACCAGCCACACUGAACUGAGACACGGUCCAGACUCCUACGGGAGGCAGCAGUGGGGAAUUUUGGACAAUGGGCGCAAGCCUGAUCCAGCAAUGCCGCGUGAGUGAAGAAGGCCUUCGGGUUGUAAAGCUCUUUUGUCAGGGAAGAAACGGCUGAGGCUAAUACCUUCGGCUAAUGACGGUACCUGAAGAAUAAGCACCGGCUAACUACGUGCCAGCAGCCGCGGUAAUACGUAGGGUGCAAGCGUUAAUCGGAAUUACUGGGCGUAAAGCGUGCGCAGGCGGUUUUGUAAGUCUGUCGUGAAAGCCCCGGGCUCAACCUGGGAAUUGCGAUGGAGACUGCAAGGCUUGAAUCUGGCAGAGGGGGGUAGAAUUCCACGUGUAGCAGUGAAAUGCGUAGAGAUGUGGAGGAACACCGAUGGCGAAGGCAGCCCCCUGGGUCAAGAUUGACGCUCAUGCACGAAAGCGUGGGGAGCAAACAGGAUUAGAUACCCUGGUAGUCCACGCCCUAAACGAUGUCUACUAGUUGUCGGGUUUUAAUUAACUUGGUAACGCAGCUAACGCGUGAAGUAGACCGCCUGGGGAGUACGGUCGCAAGAUUAAAACUCAAAGGAAUUGACGGGGACCCGCACAAGCGGUGGAUGAUGUGGAUUAAUUUGAUGCAACGCGAAAAACCUUACCUACCCUUGACAUGGAAGGAAUCCCGGAGAGAUCUGGGAGUGCCCGAAAGGGAACCUUCACACAGGUGCUGCAUGGCUGUCGUCAGCUCGUGUCGUGAGAUGUUGGGUUAAGUCCCGCAACGAGCGCAACCCUUGUCAUUAGUUGCUACGCAAGAGCACUCUAAUGAGACUGCCGGUGACAAACCGGAGGAAGGUGGGGAUGACGUCAAGUCCUCAUGGCCCUUAUGGGUAGGGCUUCACACGUCAUACAAUGGUACAUACAGAGGGCCGCCAACCCGCGAGGGGGAGCUAAUCCCAGAAAGUGUAUCGUAGUCCGGAUUGUAGUCUGCAACUCGACUACAUGAAGUUGGAAUCGCUAGUAAUCGCGGAUCAGCAUGUCGCGGUGAAUACGUUCCCGGGUCUUGUACACACCGCCCGUCACACCAUGGGAGCGGGUUUUACCAGAAGUAGGUAGCUUAACCGCAAGGAGGGCGCUACCACGGUAG